GGGUUGUGAGGUUAAGCGACUAAGCGUACACGGUGGAUGCCCUGGCAGUCAGAGGCGAUGAAGGACGUGCUAAUCUGCGAUAAGCGUCGGUAAGGUGAUAUGAACCGUUAUAACCGGCGAUUUCCGAAUGGGGAAACCCAGUGUGUUUCGACACACUAUCAUUAACUGAAUCCAUAGGUUAAUGAGGCGAACCGGGGGAACUGAAACAUCUAAGUACCCCGAGGAAAAGAAAUCAACCGAGAUUCCCCCAGUAGCGGCGAGCGAACGGGGAGCAGCCCAGAGCCUGAAUCAGUGUGUGUGUUAGUGGAAGCGUCUGGAAAGGCGCGCGAUACAGGGUGACAGCCCCGUACACAAAAAUGCACAUGCUGUGAGCUCGAUGAGUAGGGCGGGACACGUGGUAUCCUGUCUGAAUAUGGGGGGACCAUCCUCCAAGGCUAAAUACUCCUGACUGACCGAUAGUGAACCAGUACCGUGAGGGAAAGGCGAAAAGAACCCCGGCGAGGGGAGUGAAAAAGAACCUGAAACCGUGUACGUACAAGCAGUGGGAGCACGCUUCGGCGUGUGACUGCGUACCUUUUGUAUAAUGGGUCAGCGACUUAUAUUCUGUAGCAAGGUUAACCGAAUAGGGGAGCCGAAGGGAAACCGAGUCUUAACUGGGCGUUAAGUUGCAGGGUAUAGACCCGAAACCCGGUGAUCUAGCCAUGGGCAGGUUGAAGGUUGGGUAACACUAACUGGAGGACCGAACCGACUAAUGUUGAAAAAUUAGCGGAUGACUUGUGGCUGGGGGUGAAAGGCCAAUCAAACCGGGAGAUAGCUGGUUCUCCCCGAAAGCUAUUUAGGUAGCGCCUCGUGAAUUCAUCUCCGGGGGUAGAGCACUGUUUCGGCAAGGGGGUCAUCCCGACUUACCAACCCGAUGCAAACUGCGAAUACCGGAGAAUGUUAUCACGGGAGACACACGGCGGGUGCUAACGUCCGUCGUGAAGAGGGAAACAACCCAGACCGCCAGCUAAGGUCCCAAAGUCAUGGUUAAGUGGGAAACGAUGUGGGAAGGCCCAGACAGCCAGGAUGUUGGCUUAGAAGCAGCCAUCAUUUAAAGAAAGCGUAAUAGCUCACUGGUCGAGUCGGCCUGCGCGGAAGAUGUAACGGGGCUAAACCAUGCACCGAAGCUGCGGCAGCGACGCUGAUGCGUUGUUGGGUAGGGGAGCGUUCUGUAAGCCUGCGAAGGUGUGCUGUGAGGCAUGCUGGAGGUAUCAGAAGUGCGAAUGCUGACAUAAGUAACGAUAAAGCGGGUGAAAAGCCCGCUCGCCGGAAGACCAAGGGUUCCUGUCCAACGUUAAUCGGGGCAGGGUGAGUCGACCCCUAAGGCGAGGCCGAAAGGCGUAGUCGAUGGGAAACAGGUUAAUAUUCCUGUACUUGGUGUUACUGCGAAGGGGGGACGGAGAAGGCUAUGUUGGCCGGGCGACGGUUGUCCCGGUUUAAGCGUGUAGGCUGGUUUUCCAGGCAAAUCCGGAAAAUCAAGGCUGAGGCGUGAUGACGAGGCACUACGGUGCUGAAGCAACAAAUGCCCUGCUUCCAGGAAAAGCCUCUAAGCAUCAGGUAACAUCAAAUCGUACCCCAAACCGACACAGGUGGUCAGGUAGAGAAUACCAAGGCGCUUGAGAGAACUCGGGUGAAGGAACUAGGCAAAAUGGUGCCGUAACUUCGGGAGAAGGCACGCUGAUAUGUAGGUGAAGUCCCUCGCGGAUGGAGCUGAAAUCAGUCGAAGAUACCAGCUGGCUGCAACUGUUUAUUAAAAACACAGCACUGUGCAAACACGAAAGUGGACGUAUACGGUGUGACGCCUGCCCGGUGCCGGAAGGUUAAUUGAUGGGGUCAGCGCAAGCGAAGCUCUUGAUCGAAGCCCCGGUAAACGGCGGCCGUAACUAUAACGGUCCUAAGGUAGCGAAAUUCCUUGUCGGGUAAGUUCCGACCUGCACGAAUGGCGUAAUGAUGGCCAGGCUGUCUCCACCCGAGACUCAGUGAAAUUGAACUCGCUGUGAAGAUGCAGUGUACCCGCGGCAAGACGGAAAGACCCCGUGAACCUUUACUAUAGCUUGACACUGAACAUUGAGCCUUGAUGUGUAGGAUAGGUGGGAGGCUUGGAAGUGUGGACGCCAGUCUGCAUGGAGCCGACCUUGAAAUACCACCCUUUAAUGUUUGAUGUUCUAACGUUGACCCGUAAUCCGGGUUGCGGACAGUGUCUGGUGGGUAGUUUGACUGGGGCGGUCUCCUCCUAAAGAGUAACGGAGGAGCACGAAGGUUGGCUAAUCCUGGUCGGACAUCAGGAGGUUAGUGCAAUGGCAUAAGCCAGCUUGACUGCGAGCGUGACGGCGCGAGCAGGUGCGAAAGCAGGUCAUAGUGAUCCGGUGGUUCUGAAUGGAAGGGCCAUCGCUCAACGGAUAAAAGGUACUCCGGGGAUAACAGGCUGAUACCGCCCAAGAGUUCAUAUCGACGGCGGUGUUUGGCACCUCGAUGUCGGCUCAUCACAUCCUGGGGCUGAAGUAGGUCCCAAGGGUAUGGCUGUUCGCCAUUUAAAGUGGUACGCGAGCUGGGUUUAGAACGUCGUGAGACAGUUCGGUCCCUAUCUGCCGUGGGCGCUGGAGAACUGAGGGGGGCUGCUCCUAGUACGAGAGGACCGGAGUGGACGCAUCACUGGUGUUCGGGUUGUCAUGCCAAUGGCACUGCCCGGUAGCUAAAUGCGGAAGAGAUAAGUGCUGAAAGCAUCUAAGCACGAAACUUGCCCCGAGAUGAGUUCUCCCUGACCCUUUAAGGGUCCUGAAGGAACGUUGAAGACGACGACGUUGAUAGGCCGGGUGUGUAAGCGCAGCGAUGCGUUGAGCUAACCGGUACUAAUGAACCGUGAGGCUUAACCUUACAACGCCGAAGCUGUU
RNAcentral lists this ribosomal RNA (2930 nucleotides) under Escherichia coli. RNAcentral describes it as "23S ribosomal RNA". It matches the Rfam family "Bacterial large subunit ribosomal RNA". Lineage: Bacteria; Pseudomonadati; Pseudomonadota; Gammaproteobacteria; Enterobacterales; Enterobacteriaceae. The record is from RNAcentral.